Molecule: ribosomal RNA, 378 nt
Filed under: Amphidinium carterae
Lineage: Eukaryota; Dinophyceae; Amphidiniales; Amphidiniaceae
Description: partial Bacterial small subunit ribosomal RNA
Rfam family: Bacterial small subunit ribosomal RNA
Source: RNAcentral
GCAAUGAUGGGUACUUAGGCUUAACGGCUCUAUAGCACGCUGGAUCUGAAAUACGACCAGGACCACAUAGUGGGAUGUAGUGGGUAAUAUUCCGCAAUUCGUUGUCUUCGGACAUGCGAGACGGAGUUACAUCACGUGUGGGAAGAUGUCUAUGACACUCUCCACCCUGUAGUCACGAUACAAGAUGUGCCAGCAGUCGCGGUAAUACAUCUGUGGCAAGCGUUGUGUAACGUUAUUCGAUGUAAAGCAGGCUUAGGCAUCAAUCCCUGUAAUGAAUCCUUCAUGGGCUCUUCAAGGGGAGCUUAUAGCUGAUGACAUGAGAAGGUGCAUAUGAAGCCUGUGGGUAAUAUAGUGUAUUAACGGUCAAAUUGUAGGAAC